This 234-nucleotide ribosomal RNA is filed under the name uncultured bacterium. Its description in RNAcentral is "partial 16S ribosomal RNA". It matches the Rfam family "Bacterial small subunit ribosomal RNA", at positions 27 to 252 of the family's 1533-position model. The record is from RNAcentral.
GAAUGAACGCUGGCGGCGCGCCUAAUACAUGCAAGUCGAGCGAGAAGACGUAGCAAUACGUUUGUAAAGCGGCGAACGGGUGAGGAAUACAUGGGUAACCUACCCUAGAGUGGGGAAUAACUAGCCGAAAGGUUAGCUAAUACCGCGUACGCUCCUUGGACUUCGGUUCAGGGAGGAAAGCGAUGCCGAGGGUAUCGCGCUCUUGGAUGGGCUCAUGUCCUAUCAGCUUGUUGG